Molecule: ribosomal RNA, 374 nt
Filed under: uncultured Glomeromycotina
Lineage: Eukaryota; Fungi; Glomeromycota
Description: LSU rRNA
Source: RNAcentral
UUGAAAGGGAAACGAUUGAAGUCAGUCGUACCGACGAGAAAUCAACUCAUCGAAUGGGUAAUUGCGGGCGUAUGAGAGCUUCACGGUCUCAUUGUUUGCGAAUGCAUGUUCUUUGGGUGUACUUUUUCGUAUGGUAGGUCAACGUCGGUUUCGAUUACUAUAAAAUGAUCGGAGGAAUGUAGCUUCGAUCUUGUAUUGAAGUGUUAUAGCCUUCGGUAGAUGUGACGAUCGGGAUUGAGGAUUGCAACGGAUACCCUUCGGGGCUACCUGUCUGAUCUCUGAUUGUUGCUCUGGUACCGAAAGCUUGCUUACGGUUAUCAAAGUCGAUGGUCAAUAGGUUAGAACGGGUUAAAUUCGUUAAGGAUGUUGACGUA